GGAGGGUGCAAGCGUUACUCGGAAUCACUGGGUGUAAAGGGAGCGUAGACGGCAUAGCAAGUCUGAAGUGAAAGCCCGUGGCUCAACCGCGGAACUGCUUUGGAAACUGUUAAGCUGGAGUACUGGAGAGGCAAGCGGAAUUCCUAGUGUAGCGGUGAAAUGCGUAGAUAUUAGGAGGAACACCAGUGGCGAAGGCGGCUUGCUGGACAGAGACUGACGUUGAGGCUCGAAAGCGUGGGGAGCAA
This 245-nucleotide ribosomal RNA is filed under the name uncultured bacterium. RNAcentral's name for it is "partial 16S ribosomal RNA". It matches the Rfam family "Bacterial small subunit ribosomal RNA", at positions 527 to 771 of the family's 1533-position model. The record is from RNAcentral.